AGAACGAACGCUGGCGGCAGGCUUAACACAUGCAAGUCGAGCGCCUCGCAAGAGGAGCGGCAGACGGGUGAGUAACGCGUGGGAAUCUACCCAUCUCUACGGAACAACUCCGGGAAACUGGAGCUAAUACCGUAUACGUCCUUCGGAGAAAGAUUAUCGGAGAUGGAUGAGCCCGCGUUGGAUUAGCUAGUUGGUGGGGUAAUGGCCUACCAAGGCGACGAUCCAUAGCUGGUCUGAGAGGAUGAUCAGCCACACUGGGACUGAGACACGGCCCAGACUCCUACGGGAGGCAGCAGUGGGGAAUAUUGGACAAUGGGCGCAAGCCUGAUCCAGCCAUGCCGCGUGAGUGAUGAAGGCCCUAGGGUUGUAAAGCUCUUUCAACGGUGAAGAUAAUGACGGUAACCGUAGAAGAAGCCCCGAUAACUUCGUGCCAGCAGCCGC
This 441-nucleotide ribosomal RNA is filed under the name uncultured bacterium. RNAcentral describes it as "SSU rRNA". It matches the Rfam family "Bacterial small subunit ribosomal RNA", at positions 26 to 518 of the family's 1533-position model. The record is from RNAcentral.